UCGGAGGAAGGUGGGGACGACGUCAAAUCAUCAUGCCCCUUAUGUCUUGGGCUUCACGCAUGCUACAAUGGCCGGUACAAAGGGUUGCGAUACUGUGAGGUGGAGCUAAUCCCAAAAAGCCGGUCUCAGUUCGGAUUGGGGUCUGCAACUCGACCCCAUGAAGUCGGA
RNAcentral lists this ribosomal RNA (168 nucleotides) under uncultured Actinomycetes bacterium. RNAcentral describes it as "uncultured actinobacterium partial 16S ribosomal RNA". It matches the Rfam family "Bacterial small subunit ribosomal RNA", at positions 1163 to 1330 of the family's 1533-position model. The record is from RNAcentral. Lineage: Bacteria; Bacillati; Actinomycetota; Actinomycetes.